CUAGAGGUCCACUAUUCUCUUCAUGGUCAUACCUCCAAUAACCUAACUUCCUCUGCCUAGGUCCUGCAUCUUAAAGGUUCCAUCACUUCCACCAUAGCCACGGGCUGGGGACCAAGCCGUCCACACAUGAAUACGGAUCAAGCUUUCAACAUCUAAAUGAUACCACAAAGGAAAAAGAAUUUUUGUGAUAGCAGUGAGAAGCAAGAAAAAAGUUGCAGGGGCAGAAAACAUUGGAGAAGCACAGCUCUGCGCCAUCAAAGAACCAUCCUGAAGUGCUCUUGACAGACGACUUCAUGAACUUGGAACCUCAACAGUAAUCCCCUGGGGAUGUGAUUUCUCACACACACUAAUCUGAUUCUCCCAG
RNAcentral lists this long non-coding RNA (364 nucleotides) under Fukomys damarensis (Damara mole-rat). RNAcentral describes it as "lncRNA (ENSFDAG00000023192.1)". Lineage: Eukaryota; Metazoa; Chordata; Mammalia; Rodentia; Bathyergidae. The record is from RNAcentral.